GCAAGAAGGGGCUAGUGGCCUCUUCUAGUUCCUUCCAACCUGGCAGCAGGCAGGCUCCUAUUCUGACACCUGAGCCCUUGCGGUGGGGCCCGUUCUGAGUCAACCAGAGCACAGGCCGGGGAUAGAGGCAAGGAGGCAGCAAUUCAACAGUGAAUUUGGGACCUUUGGAGCAACCAAGGGGAAGGUGGUGGUGCUGCUGAUGGCGGUGGAGAGCUCUGGGCUAAACCUGUCAUGAUGAUCCUGGAUUGUUUUUAUUCCAACCUCCCAGCUGACCUUGGGGACUGGAUAGAUGAUGAUGAUAAAAAUGAUCAUAAUAAUACCUGACUUGGCUGUCUUGAGCUGACUGUCCUGAGCCCCCACUGAGACCACCCAGACUCUGCAAGGGCGAGGAAAAGCAUAAAGUGCUCUCUAUGAAUGCAAGACAGUCUUUUCCUUCCUCCGACGUCAUCCCAUUCUUCUCCCCACUCCAAAAAAGGCAAGCACAGCAGCUGAGCACGCGCACAAGGGCAAGCGGAGGGCCAAGGCGGGCACCACCCCCGGGCAAGGGAGGGUAGACCCCUCCCUGAAGGACCGACUUGACCUGCCCAUCAGGCCUCACCCCCUUCAAAAGCAGCAGCAUCAGGGCCUGGCAGGUCACAUGUGGGAGGCCGAUGCAGCAGCCCCAAGGUUGGAAAGUGGGACUCCAUUCGGAUGCUCCCCACUGUUGCCCCCCUCCCUGCAAGGCCUGCCACCACGGGACACAGACCAAGAGGAGAACGAUCUCCAGGCCAAGCAAGCAUCAAGCAGGUGGCUUUUCUUGCAUCUUCAGCAUCCGCCAAAGAUGAGGGUGCGGGUCUGAAUACAUGCUCUGUUAGAUCACAGGACAGCGACCUGCGCUCGGUGAGGAGGUAACAGCGCCCCCAGUGUCCUACAAGGGUCAUCGAUCCUGUCCUGGACACGAAAGACUGGCCCCUGUUGUGGGGCCAGACAUCCCUCCUCCAUGACUCUUCCUCCUAGUGCAGACUAGCUGGGUUAGAAAUUGUGCUUUCUCUUCCGAGACCUGGUAGUCCGUGUGGGGGCUGAUGCUGGGGAAGCUGGUGGGGGCUCUGGCAGGGGGGCUUGGGCCUGGGUGGCCUGGGGAGUGGAGCCCGUAGGGGCUGCCCCUUCUGGCCCCCGCUGAGAUGCCUGAACCCCAUCCCGGAUCUCUGUCAGCGUCUGGCACAUCUGACCGACACGGCUGGUCAGCUCGGCCAUGGCCUGGCCGAUGACGUGCAUGCUGUUGGCCAUGUCCCGGUGCACGGUCACCAGCUCCUGGCAGAACUGCCGGAACACCUCGGUCUGCUGGGCAUGGACGUGGAGGAGCUGCCAGUCAAGGCCCGUGGUGGGUGGGCUGGGGUGCGGCCGAGGGGUCCUGCAGGCAGCCUGGGCCUGGGGCGAGGGAUGGGGCAGGGCCUCUGGCUUGGGGCCCACCGUCUCAGACUGGUCUGAGGAGGAGGAUGAACGGAGCAGGGCGGGCCUGGCCAGGUGGGCCUCUUCCUCCGGAGACCGCUGCAGAGGCACCCGAAGAGGCUGCCUUGAGGGCCCAGGCGCCUCCUCAUCUUCAUCAUCUUGGGGGACAGAAACAAAGAUGGAAAAGUGGUUACAAAAGGGAGAAGGAGGGAGGCCCAGGGGUUGGCCCUGCCCCUGAAAAACACCUGAGUAUCCCCCUGCCCUGCCACCCUGCGGUCUAGUUUGGCCCCCGCCCAUAGAGAAAUCCAUGUUCCCCAAAUCCCUGAGGUGCGUGGGCCCAGCAUCCCUGGGGGGAAGUUCCUCUUCCUCUCAACGGAACAGCUCCAUUCUAGUGGGGAAGAGCCCAGGCCAGGGGACUUGGAGACCGUGGCCCAGCGGCUGCAUGCCAACCCAGCAGCUCCUGACCUCAGCAGUCAGUUCAUCUCUCUGCACCUCACUUUCUGCAAUGAUAACGACUGCCCUGUCUACACAUCGAACCGCUUGGCUACCUAAUUGGGUUGUUAAGAAGAGUCAUAAACAAGAUGACAAACAUGAAGGCGCUCUGUAACGCUGAAGGAGCGGCACCUGCCUAAAGGUACUAAGACGCUCUCGGCCCUCUGAGCACCAGACUUUCUGAGGCCACGUCUGCAUUGCUUGGGGCCAUCUUGUGGCCUUGCUGGAAUCUGCACACUUUUUUUUUCCAUAAGUUACUGGGGUACAGGUGGUGUUUGGUUACAUGAGGAAGUUCUUCAGUGGUGACUUGUGAGAUUUUGGUGCACCCAUGACCCAAGCAGUAUACACUGUGCCAUAUGACGCAAAGGCAUAAGAAUGAUACAACGGACUUUGCGGACUUGGGGGAAAGAGUGGGAAGGGGGUGAGGGAUAAAAGACUACUAAUACAGAAUCUGCAUCUUUAAAUCACUGCAGCAGAUGCUGACAGGCUGAAGAAACUGGCAGGACAGUGCAGAGCAGGAGAGCCACCUCUGCAACCAGCCCUGCUGUCCCCCUGUCCCCCAAGGCAGGCUUCCAGUUCAGUCACAUCGUGCUCCCAUCCAGGAGCAUCUGACCGCACAGGGGCCAUCGGACAGACUGCUCCUUGCAGCCGGACACAGGGAGGAGGCCCAGCCUCUGCACAUGUGGGUCCUGCUUUCUGGUGACCAAGGGUAUGGGCUGAUCCCUGUGGCAGGAUUAAAUGAUGUAUGGGCUGACCCUACUGACAGGCAAGCCCUCCCUGCCUGGAUCUGCGGACUCAACUCAGAACCACCCCCCAGGAAGGUGAUGGGGAGGACAGACAGGUUUAUCUUACAGUUACCUCAUGCCUCCCAGGGGUCCUGGGGGCUCACUUGGGCCAGCUUGGUAAGAGUCCUGUGUCUCUUGGCAGUGUUUGGUGGGACAGCAGCCAUCCCCUGAGAUCCCAGAGACCUGUCUAGCAUGGCCAGUGUUGGAAGGAGUGAGACCCGGCGAGGUGAUGCUGCUCCUUCCCUCCCAGGUCCCCGUUCUGCCAAGCCCCUGGCCGAGUGCUGCCGCAGCUGGCCACUGCCAAGAAAAGGAGGGCUGUGAGCCUGCCAUGGGGGUGAGCGGGCUCUGCCUGAUGGCACACUCGGGCUCCCUGCCAGCCCAGGUUACCUUUGGUGGCCUCAUUACAUUCAGUCUCAGGGAGAUGGAGGGGUGAGUGGAGCAGGAUGCAGGGAACAGGCUUUACUGGAUGCUGACCCCCCCCAUUUUUUCUUAUCACGGGGUGGAAUCCUCUUAAGACUUAGGAAAACACUGAUUCACAGGAAGCCAGCAGACCCGGGUCCAAGUCCUGCUUCUGAAUCGAGCUCAGGGCCACCUUGGUUUUCAGAGCUUACUUUCUGCAUUGCAAGGAAGUUGAACUAAAUGGUCUCCAUGUUCUUUUCCAGUCCUAAACAUCUGACUCUGUGAACUGCCACCUGUCAGGAGCCCCAGCCAAACAGGAAGCAAGUGGAUCACAAUGGCAGGGGGCCCGGGAAGGGAAGGUGCAAGUGAGUCUUUGCGAAGCACCUUCCCAUGGGCUGAGCCACGGCUGCUUCCCCGGGGCCCCUCCUGCCUGGCUCCCACCACUCACGAGCCGGUCAGGCAGACGGCCUCUAGUGGGGACUGCAGCUGGCGGGGCACGGGGGAGAUGUGCAGAAGUGGAAAGGAAGGGUUGCAGUCCCUGCGGAGGCCUCGAGUGCUCCCCCUUCUGCUGAGCCCCAACUAGAACUCCAGCCCCAAGGGACACCCGCCUCGGCCGCUGGGGCCCUGGCUUCAAAGUGCAUGUGAGACACAGGAAGUAGAGAGGAAAGGCAGGGACAAGUACAGAGGGAGAAGAGGGGUGGGGAGCGGGUGGCGGAGCAGCCAGGAGGAUGGAGAGGGAGCUGAGAGGCAGCACACAGAAAAGUGGGGGCAGGCAGCGUGGCUCAGGCAGGGGAGUAAGGAGAAUAAUAGAGGAACAAAGCAGUCAGGACCAGACACAGAAAGGAACUGAUCUUUCCAUGGCCCGGCCCGGGCCUUCACAGCUUGGCCGCCUCGUCUCCAGCCCCCUCCCCCGCGCUGCUACACUUGGGCUUUCCUGGCUUCUCACUGUUCCUGGAACGUGCCAAGCGCCUUCCUGAUGCGGGGCCUCGUACAUGCUGUUCUCUGCCUGCGCGCCUCCCCUCCCCUUCUCCGCGCCCCACGCUGCUGCCUGGCCUGGUUAACUCUUACUCUUCACAUCCCAGUCCGCUGGACUUCUUCAGGGAGCCCUCCCCAGUCCCCAGUGGAGCCAGUUUUACCCACUCCUUAACUCUCAGACAGAGCUGCUACAUAACCUGCAGGGUCAAAUGCAAAAUGAAAACGUGGGGCCCUUGGCUCAAAAACUAUGAAGAAUGUCCAGAUGGCGACAGCAGAGCCUGAAACCCCGCGGCUCCUGUGACUGUUCAGGUUGCAUGCUCAUGAAGUCAGCCCUGCUCUCGGGACCUCCUGGACUCCUGUGUCCUCCAUCCCUUCGUUUCCAGUUUACUCGUGCAAUUAUUUAACGUUGGUUUAUUCCUAGGAGUCCAGGGUCUCCCCAAGAGCAGGGCCUGCCUGGGGUUUACACACAGCUGUCUUCCCAGCUCCUAGCACGGCUCUGGCACGGAGAUGCUCAGUAAAUAUUCGAGAAUGAAUGCAAAAAGGGAUGGAGAGGAGAAGAGUGGGAGAAGGAGGGGAGGAUGGAAAGAGUGGGCUGGACAGAGAGGGACAGGAGAGAACCAGAGGGAAAGUCGGUGGGAGACUGUGGACUGUAAGCUGGGGGGCAGGCAGCCGGCUGGGCGGCAGGGGGGACUGGUGAUACUCACAGCUGGUCGAAGGGCUGUCGGUGCCAUCCAGUUCCGCCCUGGGGAAGCCGCGCCCUGCACGGGCCGUGAGCAGCGCCGACUCGAUGGCCCUCUCGUGGGCCGUGAGCACGAUGGUGGGGGCCCGGCCCCCGGCCCCAGGGCCCGACAGGGACUGCUGCAUGAAGGCCAGCUUGUCCUUGGUCCUCCGUUUCAUGUCAUCCCAUCUGUGCUUAAUGUCCUUGACGGAGCGGGGCACCUGGCUGACGGAGGUGAUUUUCCGGGCUAUGCCUUCCCAAAUCUUGUCCCUGUCAGCAUGGGACAGCCGCAUGGUCUCCCUCCCAAAGAGCACUGCUUCGUGGUGGGUCACCUCUGUGACAAGAGUGUCCAGCUCCUCCUUGGAGAACUUGGGCUUCCUC
Molecule: long non-coding RNA, 5178 nt
Filed under: Pan troglodytes (chimpanzee)
Lineage: Eukaryota; Metazoa; Chordata; Mammalia; Primates; Hominidae
Description: long non-coding RNA NONPTRT003041
Source: RNAcentral